CUCCACCAUCCGUAACGUCCUUCCCCGUCACGAACAAGGAGGAGUCUUCGCCGCCGAGGGUUACGCUCGUUCCUCCGGCAAACCGGGAAUCUGCAUAGCCACUUCGGGUCCCGGAGCUACCAACCUCGUCAGCGGGUUAGCAGACGCGAUGCUUGACAGUGUUCCUCUUGUCGCCAUUACAGGACAGGUCCCUCGCCGGAUGAUCGGUACUGACGCCUUCCAAGAGACGCCAAUCGUUGAGGUAACGAGGUCUAUUACGAAACAUAACUAUUUGGUGAUGGAUGUUGAUGACAUACCUAGGAUCGUUCAAGAAGCUUUCUUUCUAGCUACUUCCGGUAGACCCGGACCGGUUUUGGUUGAUGUUCCUAAGGAUAUUCAGCAGCAGCUUGCGAUUCCUAACUGGGAUCAACCUAUGCGCUUACCUGGCUACAUGUCUAGGUUGCCUCAGCCUCCGGAAGUUUCUCAGUUAGGUCAGAUCGUUAGGUUGAUCUCGGAGUCUAAGAGGCCUGUUUUGUACGUUGGUGGUGGAAGCUUGAACUCGAGUGAAGAACUGGGGAGAUUUGUCGAGCUUACUGGGAUCCCCGUUGCGAGUACUUUGAUGGGGCUUGGCUCUUAUCCUUGUAACGAUGAGUUGUCCCUGCAGAUGCUUGGCAUGCACGGGACUGUGUAUGCUAACUACGCUGUGGAGCAUAGUGAUUUGUUGCUGGCGUUUGGUGUUAGGUUUGAUGACCGUGUCACGGGAAAGCUCGAGGCUUUCGCUAGCAGGGCUAAAAUUGUGCACAUAGACAUUGAUUCUGCUGAGAUUGGGAAGAAUAAGACACCUCACGUGUCUGUGUGUGGUGAUGUAAAGCUGGCUUUGCAAGGGAUGAACAAGGUUCUUGAGAACCGGGCGGAGGAGCUCAAGCUUGAUUUCGGUGUUUGGAGGAGUGAGUUGAGCGAGCAGAAACAGAAGUUCCCUUUGAGCUUCAAAACGUUUGGAGAAGCCAUUCCUCCGCAGUACGCGAUUCAGAUCCUCGACGAGCUAACCGAAGGGAAGGCAAUUAUCAGUACUGGUGUUGGACAGCAUCAGAUGUGGGCGGCGCAGUUUUACAAGUACAGGAAGCCGAGACAGUGGCUGUCGUCAUCAGGCCUCGGAGCUAUGGGUUUUGGACUUCCUGCUGCGAUUGGAGCGUCUGUGGCGAACCCUGAUGCGAUUGUUGUGGAUAUUGACGGUGAUGGAAGCUUCAUAAUGAACGUUCAAGAGCUGGCCACAAUCCGUGUAGAGAAUCUUCCUGUGAAGAUACUCUUGUUAAACAACCAGCAUCUUGGGAUGGUCAUGCAAUGGGAAGAUCGGUUCUACAAAGCUAACAGAGCUCACACUUAUCUCGGGGACCCGGCAAGGGAGAACGAGAUCUUCCCUAACAUGCUGCAGUUUGCAGGAGCUUGCGGGAUUCCAGCUGCGAGAGUGACGAAGAAAGAAGAACUCCGAGAAGCUAUUCAGACAAUGCUGGAUACACCAGGACCAUACCUGUUGGAUGUGAUAUGUCCGCACCAAGAACAUGUGUUACCGAUGAUCCCAAGUGGUGGCACUUUCAAAGAUGUAAUAACAGAAGGGGAUGGUCGCACUAAGUACUGAGAGAUGAAGCUGGUGAUCGAUCAUAUGGUAAAAGACUUAGUUUCAGUUUCCAGUUUCUUUUGUGUGGUAAUUUGGGUUUGUCAGUUGUUGUACUACUUUUGGUUGUUCCCAGACGUACUCGCUGUUGUUGUUUUGUUUCCUUUUUCUUUUAUAUAUAAAUAAACUGCUUGGGUUUUUUUUCAUAUGUUUGGGACUCAAUGCAAGGAAUGCUACUAGACUGCGAUUAUCUACUAAUCUUGCUAGGAAAUGGCACUUUACAUUGGGUGUGAUUGUCAUAUUUUCAGUUUUUUAGCUACGAGAACGAUGAAAGUUCAGAUUUCACACACUAUAUAUAUGUUUGAUCGAUGUUGUAUGCUCUUAAACAUUUCUAUCUUUCCUUUUCUCAUAUUAUCCAUCACACUCUUUAAUAUGAUGUAAAUUGCUUCUUCUCUAAGCUACACCAGUCGUAAGCAACAUACGAAGAAGCUUUUUGAAAACAUCUUUUAUUCUCUCAUCACACUUUGUGUAUGUGUCAAUAACAUGUCAACUUCAUCUGUGUUGAAAUAAACAUUCGGUUCAUUGUAACAACAAUAAUUUCUGUCUUUUUUUUUUAUCAACACAAUAAUUUUCUGUCUUACACCUAAGUAACACAUGUUCUUUCGUUCUCCCCAUUUUUAUUUAAGUGCGACACUUCAAACCCAUUAACAGAUCAAACAACCAAAUCACAUACAGCAGCUUCACAUCAGAUCAACUUUAACACACCCCUAUGUCAUCGCAUUUCAUUCUCUCCCUGCUUAAAUGGUCACACUCUUAUACAAACCAUAAGCCUAGUGAUAUUUAUUAUUCCAGCGUCUUAUAGCCGCUGUCAAAUAUCAACCUACCAUACUAUUACAUCAUCAGAGAUAUUCCCGGUUUCUCUCUAAGCUUGACAAGAACACGUGAGACACAAUUCCGAACUCGGCUUUAGCAUUCUCUUAAAAGAUGGUAUGAUCAGGACCCUUGCCUCAUACCAACAUCUUGUGAUCACAGCUUCUUAAUAUCAAGACUUUUGUAGACGAUCAUCAUCCGAUUAUCACAAUGCCUUAUUUCCAAACUUGCGAUCAUAAUCAUAUUGACCCUUUACUGUCACAACGUCCUUUUGUAUCGAAAUUUAUUCCGAGCAAAACACUUACUUGUCCAAGAAAAAUAAGCUCCACAAUAAAAUUCUUUUGAGUCUUCCGACUCAUAUAACAUGAUCUAGCGAAAAUUUUAGAUUACAACCAGUCUUUAACUCCUUAAUCCGAAACUCAGCCUGUCGAAGACCAAAUCCAAAACCAAACGCCUCCAAGCUUUGAGCACUUUAUGAGUCUAUUAUGAUUGUCAUGUGAUUGAUCCCAUACCACAACAACCCAUGUCUUCUUAAUUUGAAACAAAAACUUACUAUGCCCCUCCAUGAGGACUUCUCCUCACAUCAGCUUCUUGAGAGUUUAUAUGGAUAUUCAAUCUUGUUCUGAACACUCAUGAUAGUUGCGAACCUCCCUUUCUGACAGCUGCAUCCAGUGAAUGGUGAACCUUAUGCACCACCAACCAUGAUGCAUCACAAAGCCUGAAUAAUUGCAUCACACACUGCCAUCACAUCUAUCUUAAUAUCUCUGUCGAUUAUGUCUGUUUCAAUAUGAGAACAAUAUUAAAAACAAACUCUCACACUAGAUGUUGGAAGUGAUCAUAAAUAAUAUAUAAUAAUAUAAAUAUACAUACCAACCCAGUCAUCACAAAUUGGUUUUAGUUAAAAACUUAUCGAACUUAAUAUGGUAUCAUAUCCCUAUCUACGCAAUCCAAUCCGAUCCGCAAUCCAACCCGAUCCGCAAUCCAAAGUUGGUCCAUCUAUAUUUUUCCGAAAGUUAAAAGAGCCAUCAAAUCUCGAGUGUGCUUACUAGAGACAAAGUCUCCCAAAUUGAAAGUUGAAAGUAAACAUAAAUAAUAUAUAAGAUAUAUGGGGUCAAUCCACUUAUCAAUUGGUUUCAGGUUCUAAGCUCAUCUAAUAUCAUAAACAACACAUGAGAGUCAGUCUACUCCUCCUUUACAUCCAACGACAUAGUCAAAACUUCUAAAAAAUCCCUAUUUUAUGUUAAAUAAUUAGUUUGAAUAAUGUAUAUUACUAUUAUUUGAAUUAAUUUUUUUGCAUUCGAAAAGUAAUUUUAAUUGUCAUGUUCUCCAUGAUUUUAUGUAAUUUUCGUAUUAAAUUUUUCACUUUAAAAGUUAAAUUGGUUAAAGUCAUUGGUACCCUUAAUGAAUAAAUUGGUUAAAGUCAUUGGUACCCUUAAUGAAUAAUUAUAUGGAUAUAUUAUAGUUAUAUAUUUAGUUAUAAAUAUUUAUAAUAAUAAAUUAAUCAAAAUAAGUAAAUAUCAUGAUAUCCUACGAAACAUACAUCAAUAAGUUUAUUCAAAAAUCAAAAGAUCAACAACUCUGAAUUCUCGUGAUAAUGCCAAACUUUUUUCCAUGAUCCUACCAUGUAUCCACCAAGGAAUUCCUCAAGCAAUAUACGACUGAUUACCAUUAAUUAAUCGAAAAUAAAUUCACAUGCCAUUCAUCAGAAAUGUAUCCAUGGAACUUCAUACUUCUCGGUCACAUCACUAAUUCAACUCUUUUAUUACUUCACUUACAAGUUCUCUUCCUCAUCUCCUUCAGAUAAUAUACUCCUAGGCUCCUAGCCACCAAUCCAUAAUCUACCCGAAACAAGAUCAGAUUUACAAGAUCUCUAGCAUGAAUCCUCUUUGGUACCAUUUGAAAUUUUGGAUUUUCAGGAUAUAUUUAUAUGUUUCAUCAAUGUGAUAUGUAAAUGCGUAAACUAAAGAAGACACAUAGUUUUUUCAUGAGGUUUUGUUCUCUCUACAUCCCCUAGACCUAGUCUAAAAAUAAAUAUACCAGACAAAUAAAACAAAUACAGUUUCAAAUGGGAUCAAAGUGUUAAGAAACGUUUUAGGGAGCUGUUUAUGCCACCUAUGCGCUAUGCCCUAUAAAACUGUGAAGAUUACUUUUACCAAAAAAAAAAAAAAAACUGAGAGUCUGUAUGGGGUAUUUUCGUAAACAAACAAAACCCUCACAAGCCUCGUUUUAUAAAAACGAUUCACGUUCACAAACUCAUUCAUCAUCUCUCUCUCCUCUAACCAUGGCGGCGGCAACAUCGUCUUCUCCGAUCUCCUUAACCGCUAAACCUUCUUCCAAAUCCCCUCUACCCAUUUCCAGAUUCUCCCUUCCCUUCUCCUUAACCCCACAGAAAGACUCCUCCCGUCUCCACCGUCCUCUCGCCAUCUCCGCCGUUCUCAACUCACCCGUCAAUGUCGCACCUCCUUCCCCUGAAAAAACCGACAAGAACAAGACUUUCGUCUCCCGCUACGCUCCCGACGAGCCCCGCAAGGGUGCUGAUAUCCUCGUCGAAGCCCUCGAGCGUCAAGGCGUCGAAACCGUCUUUGCUUAUCCCGGAGGUGCUUCCAUGGAGAUCCACCAAGCCUUGACUCGCUCCUCCACCAUCCGUAACGUCCUUCCCCGUCACGAACAAGGAGGAGUCUUCGCCGCCGAGGGUUACGCUCGUUCCUCCGGCAAACCGGGAAUCUGCAUAGCCACUUCGGGUCCCGGAGCUACCAACCUCGUCAGCGGGUUAGCAGACGCGAUGCUUGACAGUGUUCCUCUUGUCGCCAUUACAGGACAGGUCCCUCGCCGGAUGAUCGGUACUGACGCCUUCCAAGAGACACCAAUCGUUGAGGUAACGAGGUCUAUUACGAAACAUAACUAUUUGGUGAUGGAUGUUGAUGACAUACCUAGGAUCGUUCAAGAAGCUUUCUUUCUAGCUACUUCCGGUAGACCCGGACCGGUUUUGGUUGAUGUUCCUAAGGAUAUUCAGCAGCAGCUUGCGAUUCCUAACUGGGAUCAACCUAUGCGCUUACCUGGCUACAUGUCUAGGUUGCCUCAGCCUCCGGAAGUUUCUCAGUUAGGUCAGAUCGUUAGGUUGAUCUCGGAGUCUAAGAGGCCUGUUUUGUACGUUGGUGGUGGAAGCUUGAACUCGAGUGAAGAACUGGGGAGAUUUGUCGAGCUU
RNAcentral lists this long non-coding RNA (5666 nucleotides) under Brassica napus (rape). RNAcentral's name for it is "long non-coding RNA (BNAP_LNC020397)". The record is from RNAcentral. Lineage: Eukaryota; Viridiplantae; Streptophyta; Magnoliopsida; Brassicales; Brassicaceae.